AAUAAUAUGGCUGAGGUUAGGCAAUAAAUUGUAAAUUUAUUUACGGAAUAUGAUUUUCUAUUAUUA
RNAcentral lists this transfer RNA (66 nucleotides) under Diaphorencyrtus aligarhensis. RNAcentral describes it as "tRNA-Tyr". It matches the Rfam family "tRNA". From Rfam's summary of the family: Transfer RNA (tRNA) molecules are approximately 80 nucleotides in length. Their secondary structure includes four short double-helical elements and three loops (D, anti-codon, and T loops). Further hydrogen bonds mediate the characteristic L-shaped molecular structure. tRNAs have two regions of fundamental functional importance: the anti-codon, which is responsible for specific mRNA codon recognition, and the 3' end, to which the tRNAs corresponding amino acid is attached (by aminoacyl-tRNA synthetases). tRNAs cope with the degeneracy of the genetic code in two manners: having more than one tRNA (with a specific anti-codon) for a particular amino acid; and 'wobble' base-pairing, i.e. permitting non-standard base-pairing at the 3rd anti-codon position. The record is from RNAcentral. Lineage: Eukaryota; Metazoa; Arthropoda; Insecta; Hymenoptera; Encyrtidae.